UGGAGUUUCUGUUUUUUCCUUCACUGCACUUCCUUCCUCAAAUGCACUGCGAAGGGCUUCCAUUUUUGUCUCCUUAUCUCGUGAAAGGGCCUUGUCGUCUUCUCUGUGGGGACGAAAGUAAGUAUAAGUAAUAUGACAAGAGGUAGAGGGAUGAUCGAGAGGAGCGCAUCUACUGGAGUCACUUGCUCAACUUCGUCUCCUCCGGUUCUUCCAUCGGCUCUUCUCGUCGACUGUGAUGGAGUGCGAGUGGAUACAGAUAAAUAUGGACAUAGGAUUUCCUUUAAUGACAGUUUCGGAGAGAAAGGACUGGGGGUGUUACUUGGGAUGUGGAUGUGUAUGGUGAAUUGCUCAUUGGAGGUGGAAAAGAAAGAAUGACGGCCUACUUUAACAAGACUGGUUGGCCAGAAAAUGCUCCAAAGAGUGAAGAAGAAGGAAAAGAAUUCAUAGCUUCUCUUCACAAGCGAAAAACAGAGCUCUUCAUCGCCCUUAUUGAGAAAAGAUUACUCCCUCUUUGGCCUGGUUUCUCCAAUAGUUUCAUGCUUGCUGGGACCAGAGCAAGCAGAAAAAUCAAGAUAUUUGCCGGAGAUGUUGUUCCAAGCAAGAAGCUUGAUCCUGUAAAUUUUUUGUCCACCGGCAGUUCUAGACAUAAAUGUUGUUAUAUUUCGAUUUGAUUAUUAUUUAUGCAUGCAAUGAUGCAAGUACACCCUCUAUGGCCAUUCUAGAGUGAUAAACUAAUAUUGGGCAGGUGAUAUCUUCAGAAUCAUUUACACCCUAAGAGGUGACAAAUAAUAGGAUUCUUUACUAUAAUUAUGAGACUGAAGUUGUUGCACAGGAUCUGUUUUUUGCAUUUGUUGAUUUUAGAGUUCAAUUUGAUCCUAGUUUGAUGUCCUCACUGACAUCCUCUCUUGGUGAAUGAUAAUGCAAGGAUAAGCUGUCCAGUAAUGGAUAGUUUUUUACUUUUUUUUUUUUACAGGGCAUUUAUGUACUAGCAGCCAAGAUGCUUGGGGUUGACCCUUCAAGGUAUUUCAUGACAGAUUUUUCUGUAAUUAUAAUCUAAUCUAUUUAUGUGACCUUUUGCUCAGAAUUGUGCAGUUAUACAGUGGUCGAAGAGGAUUUCUUAAAUGCAGAUGCAGUUUUUGACUGCAUUCGAGAUUCUCCAGAAGAACGUUUUGAUCUGGCAUUCUUUGUACGCCUUCUUGAAAAACACAGGAAGCAGUCAGCUACUAUUACUAACUACGGGUCGGGUCGGCGGGUCCCAACGGUUCAACUGUCUCAUACAUUUGGCCAUUGUCAAGUAGGGACCACUGCCUCAUAUCUUGAGUUGGCAUGCAUAUUGGUUUAUAUUCAUUGUUGCCCGUGCUUCCUUUAAAAAGUGGAAUAAAUUUACGCAGCUCUCCUGGCUACCCUCUACAAAAAGAUAAGUCUGGCCCCCAUCCAAGGUAAGUCCCCCAACGACCACUUAUUAUGGUAGAAAGAGACCGGGCAUGCACAUUGGUCCCCCAAUAUUAUGCAAAAGAGAGACUUUUAAUCAUCUUGGACUUGGAAGUACGCUAUCUGAUUCUGAUUGCAGCUUUGUUAUAUAUGCUAUUACAGUUAUCUCAUAUAUCCAGGUGUCAUUCGC
Molecule: RNA transcript, 1621 nt
Organism: Tripterygium wilfordii
Lineage: Eukaryota; Viridiplantae; Streptophyta; Magnoliopsida; Celastrales; Celastraceae
Gene name: CBBY-like protein
Exons: 5
Source: RefSeq, a predicted model, not a curated record